AUUGAACGCUGGCGGCAGGCUUAACACAUGCAAGUCGAGCGGGGGAAGGUAGCUUGCUACCGGACCUAGCGGCGGACGGGUGAGUAAUGCUUAGGAGUCUGCCUAUUAGUGGGGGACAACAUCUCGAAAGGGAUGCUAAUACCGCAUACGUCCUACGGGAGAAAGCAGGGGAUCUUCGGACCUCGCGCUAAGAGAUGAGCCUUAGUCGGAUUAGCUAGUUGGUGGGGUAAAGGCCUACCAAGGCGACGAUCGGUAGCGGGUCUGAGAGGAUGAUCCGCCACACUGGGACUGAGACACGGCCCAGACUCCUACGGGAGGCAGCAGUGGGGAAUAUUGGACAAUGGGGGGAACCCUGAUCCAGCCAUGCCGCGUGUGUGAAGAAGGCCUUAUGGUUGUAAAGCACUUUAAGCGAGGAGGAGGCUACUCUAGUUAAUACCUAGGGAUAGUGGACGUUACUCGCAGAAUAAGCACCGGCUAACUCUGUGCCAGCAGCCGCCGUAA
This 501-nucleotide ribosomal RNA is filed under the name uncultured bacterium. RNAcentral's name for it is "partial 16S ribosomal RNA". It matches the Rfam family "Bacterial small subunit ribosomal RNA", at positions 30 to 523 of the family's 1533-position model. The record is from RNAcentral.